UACGUAGGGUGCGAGCGUUAAUCGGAAUUACUGGGCGUAAAGCGUGCGCAGGCGGUUCUAUAAGACCGAGGUGAAAUCCCCGGGCUCAACCUGGGAACUGCCUUUGUGACUGUAUAGCUUGAGUGCGGCAGAGGGGGAUGGAAUUCCGCGUGUAGCAGUGAAAUGCGUAGAUAUGCGGAGGAACACCGAUGGCGAAGGCAAUCCCCUGGGCCUGCGCUGACGCUCAUGCACGAAAGCGUGGGGAUCAAACAGG
Molecule: ribosomal RNA, 253 nt
Filed under: uncultured bacterium
Lineage: Bacteria
Description: partial 16S ribosomal RNA
Rfam family: Bacterial small subunit ribosomal RNA
Source: RNAcentral